This 2270-nucleotide long non-coding RNA is filed under the name Homo sapiens (human). RNAcentral describes it as "long independently transcribed non-coding RNA, p53 induced transcript, transcript variant 7 (LINC-PINT)". Lineage: Eukaryota; Metazoa; Chordata; Mammalia; Primates; Hominidae. The record is from RNAcentral.
UUGGCCCCACUGUGCACCACACACUCCUUUCCCAGCCCAGGGGCACGCGAACAAAAUGAGGCUCAAGCUGACCAGGCCGAGCCGGAGGAACGCUGGGGCUUGGCAGCAGAAGGGAUGGGACCAGAGAGAAGGGUGUGGAGGAGACCCCAGUGAGGGCCAGGACAUUUCAGGUAAAGAGAGGUCAUAUCUCCGUACCUCACUUCCUGACACAAACAAGUUUUCACUGUUGUCAGCAACAAAGCCCUAAUAUAGCUGCGGAAGAGAAAAACUGCAUUGCAUUUUGCCUCCUGCAAGCAUCAUCAACAGUUACUGGAGGAACGUAAUUCCAGAAAGCUUGAAAGCCGUGGUGAUGGUAAUUAUGUAUCAAAUGCCUGGUUCUAUUUCUGUUAUUAUUGUUUUGUCAUUUCUGUUUUCCCAGCGAUCUGACUGAACUCGCAGAGGGACAAAUCCAGUUUUUCUUUUUGACUUUUGUCAAACUAAAUCAGGCCUGAUAGAAAACUCAUUGCUCUCCGGGGAAACAAAGUAGGAGCCACGAAAUGUCAUUUUAACAGAGCGUGGGUUUGGUGACUGUAGGAAAGGAUUUGAGGACGCUCCUUCUGUUCGGCUUCCUAUGUCAUGAGCACAGGCUCCACGCACGCACAGACACCACGGCUCCCGGAUGCUGUGGCUCCCCGAUCGGGGCUCCUGCAGCGCCAGAAGCCCCUCCGGGAUGCUUCGAGGGGCUCCCGGUGGGUGGAGGUACGGACGCCGCUGCGGCCGCCGCCGCCAGUCCUGCUGCUGUUGUUGCUGCUGCAGUCACGUGGGAGCCCCUUUAAGUUUCCAUAGAGAGGCCUCUCUGGUGUCACAUGAUGGACAUGAUAUAAUGAAACAACAUUGUGGAGAGGAAAGCAUUAGGGGAGCCCACGGCUACAAAAACAAGUGAGUGAGAAGAGGUGGGAGGAAGAGAAACUACGCCACCUCCCCUGCAGCCGAGUGCACGCAGCAGCCUGGCGUGACAAGUGGGCGACGCCGGGGGGCAGGGAGCCGGGGUCCUUGGCCCUGGCCGGGGACCCCACCGCCCACCGCGCGGAGGACAACUUUUAGCCGGCAGCCCAGACCAGCGCGGCACCUGUCUCCGGAGUCUCCACCGCUCCUCCCGAUUCAUCCCAGGGAAAUUCUCAAGAAUACGCUCUACAAAUCUACGUGCGCAUCAUUUUCACCUCGCGUCGCGCCCGGGAGGAAGGAACGAGGCAAGGAGCUAAAGCAGCGUGCGUUCAGCCCUGGGGCAUUUUAUUAAUGCUUUUACGAGUUAGAAGAGUUGGGAUAAUUUGCCAUCUGGAGUUUCUCUGCCUUGCUGAUCUGAGCUCAGACCUGCCAAUUUACCAGAGAUAAUUGAUAACACCCUGUAACAGCUGAGAGGAAAAUGGAAGAAACGGAGAUACUUUUAGUGAAGCAGAAUAAACCACUGAACAGGAAGAGGGACUGGAACCAUCUCAGAAGCCAUGCCCCUCAGGCUGGAACUUGCCCUGUCUCCUCGCAGAUGAGCUACCUCUUGUGUUUAAGAAUUAAAGGAAGAUGAGCUAGGAAUCAAGAAAUACGCAGAACUGAUUCCUGUCACUGGCGCCACCCUGCCACUUGCCCAGAGCUGUGGUAUAAAUUUUUUUAAUAGGCUGAAAUAAAAAUAUGAAUAGCAUUUUGGUAUUAAGCAUUAAAUUGAUAAAGGCUAUGAGAUACACCUGCUCUCAACCAUGUUAAUUUUUUAUUAUUGGUAUUAAUAAAUUAUUACUUACUAACAUAUUAACAAGAAUUGCAUUGAGAAACAAAGCAUCCACAGGCCAAAUCUUCUGAAUUUCAAAUGUUUAUAUUAAUGCGUUGUAUUCUAGAAAAGUAGAAUUGUCUUAAGUAGCUUUGUAAUAUAAAGUCAUCUAUCAGCCCAUUACACCUAUUAGAAUGUUUUAACCUUUAUUUCCCACUUUUUUGUUUCUAGACUGAGUGUACUUGGUCUGGUAUUUGUGGCAUAACUUACGGAACACAUAAGAAUGAUACAGAUACUAUUUAAUGAUGACCUAAUACAAGCUUAGAUAGCUAAGGUGAAAGCUUCUAUGGCCUUAACAUUUUCCUCUUGAAGAAUGUAUUUUCUGUAAUAAAAUACAGUGGCUACUUGAAAUCUAUAAACUUAUGUGAGGUCUGGAUAAAUCUGAGCAACUUUCUUCUUUGUGCUCCAGGAACCUACGCACUAUAUAUAUAAAUAAAGCUUAAGUAAACAUCACUGCAAAAAAAAAAAAAAAAAA